RNAcentral lists this ribosomal RNA (498 nucleotides) under uncultured bacterium. Its description in RNAcentral is "bacterial SSU rRNA". It matches the Rfam family "Bacterial small subunit ribosomal RNA", at positions 501 to 1000 of the family's 1533-position model. The record is from RNAcentral.
CUACGUGCCAGCAGCCGCGGUAAUACGGAGGGUGCGAGCGUUAAUCGGAAUAACUGGGCGUAAAGGGCACGCAGGCGGUGACUUAAGUGAGGUGUGAAAGCCCCGGGCUUAACCUGGGAAUUGCAUUUCAUACUGGGUCGCUAGAGUACUUUAGGGAGGGGUAGAAUUCCACGUGUAGCGGUGAAAUGCGUAGAGAUGUGGAGGAAUACCGAAGGCGAAGGCAGCCCCUUGGGAAUGUACUGACGCUCAUGUGCGAAAGCGUGGGGAGCAAACAGGAUUAGAUACCCUGGUAGUCCACGCUGUAAACGAUGUCGAUUUGGGGGUUGAACUUUAAGUUUGGCGCCCGUAGCUAACGUGAUAAAUCGACCGCCUGGGGAGUACGGCCGCAAGGUUAAAACUCAAAUGAAUUGGCGGGGGCCCGCACAAGCGGUGGAGCAUGUGGUUUAAUUCGAUGCAACGCGAAGAACCUUACCUACUCUUGACAUCCAGAGAACAUUC